CGCGCGGCCUCUCUGGGGCUCCGUGAGCCGCGCUGAUUGUCCUUCCCUAUUCACCCGGCACAGACCGCGGUGACAAAGACUCCUUUCAGCGCGCACUGUAAAAGCAUGCGAGGAGAAAGGAGACGCAGAAGACAAUGAAGAAGAAGAAAAGAAAAAACGAAAACAGGAAAAAAAAGAAAGAAGUUGGGGGGCGGAUAAGCAAGAGAGGAGGACUAGAGAAGGAUGAAUGGGGACGUGGCUGGAAGCUCUGAAGCUGUGAAGUGUUACUCUGCCUUCCUGUCAGAGGUGGUGCAGGCAGAGAAGGUGGAGAAGCCUCUCCAAAUGACUCAGUGUUAUCACAGCUCAAGGCCUACGGCGAGAGCAGAGGGAAACGGGACUGGUGCGGACUGUCAUGUGGGCACUCCAGCCAGCCAGGGCUCCCCCACAGUCUCUGAGAGACGUUUGGGCAUCACUGUUGGAACACUGCACACUAAUACGACUCCAGACUCUCUCCCUGGGCUGGACGACUGGAGAAACAUGCUCCGGUUGGGACAGCCAGCCAGCAUUCCGAAUGUGUAGGACUGGGACAAAGCGAAAUACUCAACAAUUGGUAAACCUUUUCAGCUUCGUCCAUAAGACUUCAAACACACAGGACCAACCUUCAAGACUGCUGGACUACUGCAAUGUCUGUCUGCCUCAACCCAACAUUCUCUCACUCUGAGAGGAGAGACAGUGACUAAAGCACCACCCUGCACCUCCACCCAACAGGGUCUCUGCAUCCUCUACGUUCUCCAUCCGUUUUAAUCAAGGGCUACAGAAUUGAUAUGCUUCACUCACUCUCUGCAAUAAAUAUUUCAGCCCUUGCAAUGAACAACCAUAUAUCAGCCAUUUUCCCUUCUUGUGUAAUCAGAUAUUUUAGUUUUUGAUUUUCUACAACAGUUACAUUAAAAUUCCAUUAAAAUUCGAAAUAUGUUUUAUUUAGACUUACCUUUCUUCAU
Electrophorus electricus (electric eel) is the source of this 977-nucleotide long non-coding RNA. RefSeq lists it as uncharacterized. The record is from RefSeq and is a predicted model, not a curated record. Lineage: Eukaryota; Metazoa; Chordata; Actinopteri; Gymnotiformes; Gymnotidae.